AUUGAACGCUGGCGGCAGGCCUAACACAUGCAAGUCGAGCGCGCGGCGGACGGGUGAGUAAUGUCUGUGAAACUGCCUGCGGGAGGGGGAUAACUACUGGAAACGGUAGCUAAUACCCCAUACCAUCAGAUGUGCCCCGAUGGGAUUAGCUGGAAGGUGGGGUAACGGCUCACCUAGGCGACGAUCCCUAGCUGGUCUGAGAGGAUGACCAGCCACACUGGAACUGAGACACGGUCCAGACUCCUACGGGAGGCAGCAGGGGGGAAUAUUGCACAAUGGGCGCAAGCCUGAUGCAGCCAUGCCGCGUGUGUGAAGAAGGCCUUCGGGUUGUAAAGCACUUUCAGCGGGGAGGCGUUACCCGCAGAAGAAGCACCGGCUAACUCCGUGCCAGCAGCCGCGGUAAUAC
RNAcentral lists this ribosomal RNA (406 nucleotides) under uncultured bacterium. RNAcentral describes it as "partial 16S ribosomal RNA". It matches the Rfam family "Bacterial small subunit ribosomal RNA", at positions 30 to 526 of the family's 1533-position model. The record is from RNAcentral.